This 914-nucleotide ribosomal RNA is filed under the name uncultured marine bacterium. RNAcentral's name for it is "bacterial SSU rRNA". It matches the Rfam family "Bacterial small subunit ribosomal RNA", at positions 8 to 916 of the family's 1533-position model. The record is from RNAcentral.
AGAGUUUGAUCCUGGCUCAGAGUGAACGCUGGCGGCAUGGUUAAGACAUGCAAGUCGAACGAGAAGCAGAACUUCGGUUUUGUGGACAGUGGCGAACGGGUGCGUAACACGUGAGCAACCUGCCCCUAAGUACGGAAUAGCCCACCGAAAGGUGGAUUAAUACCGCAUGUGUCCCUCCUUCGCAUGGAGGAGUGGAUAAAGCUUGUAAUGGCGCUUAGGGAUGGGCUCGCGGCCUAUCAGCUUGUUGGUGAGGUAAAGGCUCACCAAGGCUAAGACGGGUAGCUGGUCUGAGAGGAUGAUCAGCCACACCGGGACUGAGACACGGCCCGGACACCUACGGGUGGCAGCAGUUUCGAAUCAUUCACAAUGGGCGAAAGCCUGAUGAUGCAAUGCCGCGUGGAGGAUGACGGCCCUAGGGUUGUAAACUCCUGUCAUUAGGGAACAACAAGUAGGUUCAUAGCCUACCCUGAGUUAACCUAAAGAGGAAGAGGUGGCUAACUCCGUGCCAGCAGCCGCGGUAAUACGGAGACCUCGAGCGUUACUCGGAUUUACUGGGCGUAAAGGGUGAGCAGGCGGCCAGGUGUGUCAGGUGUGAAAUCCCGGGGCUUAACCCCGGAACUGCGCCUGAAACUACCUGGCUAGAGUCUCGGAGAGGACAGUGGAAUUCCAGGUGUAGCGGUGAAAUGCGUAGAUAUCUAGAGGAACACCAGUGGCGAAAGCGACUGUCUGACGAGUACUGACGCUCAAUCACGAAAGCGUGGGUAGCGAAAGGGAUUAGAUACCCCUGUAGUCCACGCCGUAAACGUUGUGCACUAAGUUUCGGAGGAUUCGACCCCUUCGGAGCUCAAGCUAACGCGUUAAGUGCACCGCCUGAGGACUACGGCCGCAAGGCUAAAACUCAAAGGAAUUGACGA